Molecule: ribosomal RNA, 465 nt
Filed under: uncultured Klebsiella sp.
Lineage: Bacteria; Pseudomonadati; Pseudomonadota; Gammaproteobacteria; Enterobacterales; Enterobacteriaceae
Description: bacterial SSU rRNA
Rfam family: Bacterial small subunit ribosomal RNA
Source: RNAcentral
CCUACGGGGGGCAGCAGUGGGGAAUAUUGCACAAUGGGCGCAAGCCUGAUGCAGCCAUGCCGCGUGUGUGAAGAAGGCCUUCGGGUUGUAAAGCACUUUCAGCGGGGAGGAAGGCGUUAAGGUUAAUAACCUUGUCGAUUGACGUUACCCGCGGAAGAAGCACCGGCUAACUCCGUGCCAGCAGCCGCGGUAAUACGGAGGGUGCAAGCGUUAAUCGGAAUUACUGGGCGUAAAGCGCACGCAGGCGGUCUGUCAAGUCGGAUGUGAAAUCCCCGGGCUCAACCUGGGAACUGCAUUCGAAACUGGCAGGCUAGAGUCUUGUAGAGGGGGGUAGAAUUCCAGGUGUAGCGGUGAAAUGCGUAGAGAUCUGGAGGAAUACCGGUGGCGAAGGCGGCCCCCUGGACAAAGACUGACGCUCAGGUGCGAAAGCGUGGGGGGCAAACAGGAUUAGAUACCCUAGUAGUC